Molecule: long non-coding RNA, 658 nt
Filed under: Vigna radiata
Lineage: Eukaryota; Viridiplantae; Streptophyta; Magnoliopsida; Fabales; Fabaceae
Description: long non-coding RNA (VRAD_LNC014939)
Source: RNAcentral
UAAUUAUUAAAGAAAAGACACUUUGGUUGUACCUAAAGACAUAACCAUGUCUAUAAAUUAUAGAUCGGUACUAACACAAAAUUAGGGAGAUGUUCCUUCACCUCCCCAAAUCCAUAAUGUAUCUCUCCAAAUAAUUCUUAAUUUCAAAAUUAUCUUUUUUAACUUUAAUUUUUUACUUUUUUAUCCUUUUAAUUUAUGAAAACCCUAAUCUUUACUUUUCCUUUUCACUUUCAUGCGCAGCUGCACACCCCGUCCCACCAAACUUUCAUUUUAUUCCCUACCACCAAACUUUAAUUUUAUUUCUUUCUCUCUUUCUCUCAAGUGUUUUCCCAAUUCUUUCUUCACAUCCGUUUUCAAUUUUUUCCAUUUUAUGCCUUGGUCGUGUGUUACUUGUGCGGUGGUGGUGUGGUGUUGGUCCGGUGGUGCUGUGGUGAUUCGUUAGUGGUGUUUCGGUGCAUGCCGUUUCCUCCCAGACUCAACAGAUAUGGCACAUCGUUUUUCCUUCAACGAAUGUGGAUAUCCGUUUACGGAUGUUGACAUCCAUUUAAUAUUUCGUCCCAUACUCAUAUCCGUUACCUUUAACUACCACCACCAGACAAAGCUAAGGGAAAAGUAGAAAUUUAGGAUUACUUAAAUAAAAAAGGUUAAAAAAGUAAAU